RNAcentral lists this long non-coding RNA (1512 nucleotides) under Homo sapiens (human). RNAcentral describes it as "non-protein coding LINC01614:12". Lineage: Eukaryota; Metazoa; Chordata; Mammalia; Primates; Hominidae. The record is from RNAcentral.
AGAACACCCUUUCAGUCAGCAUGACUGGAACUUUGAUCAACAAAUCCCCAAGAGCCACAACCCGUCUUUUGUGAACAAGUAGUAUCAAGGUGGGGGUGGGCUUGGAGUGCACUGGAUGCUUUUCUUCUUUCAUCAUGAAACCUGGUGGUUUUGUGUCAUGUGAUAUGUUUUUCAGAGAUUCGGCAGGAAGCUUGCACCGAGUGAAGGAUUUAUAAAGAUUAUAGGAGAUAACACAAAGCUAUUUUAUCUCUUUAAAAAAAAUCAAAGGUGUAAGCUCAUCCUACACAUGUCAUUUGGACCAGACCAAGGCUGCUGUCAUGGAGGACCCACACCACAGCUUGGGAACCAUUCAUCUACCAGAGGGUCACAUGACUUCAAAUGACUCUUCUAGGGGCCACCUGCCAUGAUAGGGUACCAGCUCUUCCUCUGAAUUCCCAAUCCAUUUCUUGAGAACUACUGUUUCUAAUAAGAGGGGAAGAAGGUCAUGUGGGAAUCAGUUAAAUCACGUGUGGAUAGAAGACAAGUUCCAGCUUUGUGGGAAAUCCUGUAGCCUUCGCCAGGUACACCCUGACAAUCUCAGAACUGAUCAGGUAGACAAGCUGCAAAGUUUCAUAAAGUCUCAACAACGGCCAACAUGGAAAUUGGAAAAGUUAGAACAAAUAGACCAAGCCUGGGGAAAUUUACUGAACUCUGGGGCUCCCUUCCAAGUAUGGUGAUCGGUAACCCAAAUUAAACUCACUAAGGUGUCCUGAAAAAAAUGGGGUCAAUAAAAGAUAAUGUCAAUCUGGAACACACCCUCUGAAUUGGGACUAAACCCCAAGCCAAUGAAUGGAGAAUGAGCAACAAGUUAUAGCUCCAGGGGCCUGGUAAGAGUGAAGAAGGGAAAAGUCUACAGAAAAAGUAAUAGUUCAGGGAAGACUUUAUCUUAGCAGGAGCAGAAGAAGGGAUGAAGUUAAAUCCAUCCACUGGGACAGGCCAGGUUUGCUGGUGAUUAGAGGAGAAGCCUGCUGUUUAGCCAUUCUGCUUUGUAUAGAGUCUACUUACACAGCUUCAGACUUAGGAUUGGGUUGCCAAGAAGGUGGGGACAUGCAGACACCAAAAUGUGCUGCGUCUCUCUCUGUCUCUCUGUAUCCUCCUACCCACAUGAUGUCCACUGCCCUUUUUGCAGAACUGCAUUCUGGUUUGGCAAUAUCCCAUGUCUUGGACUUUUGCCAAUUGUCUCUUCUUUGCCUCAUUUAAAGCUUUCUCUCUCCCUUUUUUUUUUUUUUUUAGAUGGAGUCUCUGUUGCCAGGCUGGAGUGCAGUGACAUGAUCUCACUGCAACCUCCGCCUCCCAGGUGCAAGUGAUUCUCCUGCCUCAGCCUCCUGAGUAGCUGGGAUUACUGGAGUGCACCACCACACCCAGCUAAUUUUCGUAUUUUUAGUAGAGAUGGGGUUUCACAAUGUUGGCCAGGAUGGUCUCGAUCUCUUGACCUCGUGAUCCGCCCACCUCGGCUUCCCAAAGGCAUUCUCU